AGAACGAACGCUGGCGGCAUGCCUAAUACAUGCAAGUCGAACGAGACCUUCGGGUCUAGUGGCGCACGGGUGCGUAACGCGUGGGAAUCUACCCUUGGGUUCGGAAUAACAGUUGGAAACGACUGCUAAUACCGGAUGAUGACGAAAGUCCAAAGAUUUAUCGCCCAGGGAUGAGCCCGCGUAGGAUUAGCUAGUUGGUGAGGUAAAGGCUCACCAAGGCUACGAUCCUUAGCUGGUCUGAGAGGAUGAUCAGCCACACUGGGACUGAGACACGGCCCAGACUCCUACGGGAGGCAGCAGUAGGGAAUAUUGGACAAUGGGGGCAACCCUGAUCCAGCAAUGCCGCGUGAGUGAUGAAGGCCUUAGGUGUAAAGCUCUUUACCGAGUAUGAUAAUGACAGUAUCGGUAAGAAUAAGCUACCGGCUAACGUCCGUACCAGCAGCCGC
This 446-nucleotide ribosomal RNA is filed under the name uncultured soil bacterium. RNAcentral describes it as "bacterial SSU rRNA". It matches the Rfam family "Bacterial small subunit ribosomal RNA", at positions 26 to 518 of the family's 1533-position model. The record is from RNAcentral.